CCACCACCAAAGCAUUCUCUGGUGUUGAAGGCCCUGCAAAGCAGCAUCGCGGUGGCGGAGCGUCGUUUGCGACGCCCAACACACAAAACAAGCGGUGAGUGCUUUGGGGUGGGGUGACUGCGUACCUUUUGUAUAAUGGGUCAGCGACUUAUAUUCUGUAGCAAGGUUAACCGAAUAGGGGAGCCGGAGGGAAACCGAGUCUUAAUUGGGCGUUAAGUUGCAGGGUAUAGACCCGAAACCCGGUGAUCUAGCCAUGGGCAGGUUGAAGGUUGGGUAACACUAACUGGAGGACCGAACCGACUAAUGUUGAAAAAUUAGCGGAUGACCUGUGGCUGGGGGUGAAAGGCCAAUCAAACCGGGAGAUAGCUGGUUCUCCCCGAAAGCUAUUUAGGUAGCGCCUCGUGAAUUCAUCUCCGGGGGUAGAGCACUGUUUCGGCUAGGGGGCCAUCCCGGCUUACCAACCCGAUGCAAACUGCGAAUACCGGAGAAUGUUAUCACGGGAGACACACGGCGGGUGCUAACGUCCGUCGUGAAGAGGGAAACAACCCAGACCGCCAGCUAAGGUCCCAAAGUCAUGGUUAAGUGGGAAACGAUGUGGGAAGGCCCAGACAGCCAGGAUGUUGGCUUAGAAGCAGCCAUCAUUUAAAGAAAGCGUAAUAGCUCACUGGUCGAGUCGGCCUGCGCGGAAGAUGUAACGGGGCUAAACCAUGCACCGAAGCUGCGGCAGCGACGCUUAUGCGUUGUUGGGUAGGGGAGCGUUC
RNAcentral lists this ribosomal RNA (761 nucleotides) under Salmonella enterica. RNAcentral's name for it is "partial 23S ribosomal RNA". The stretch from base 88 to 761 matches the Rfam family "Bacterial large subunit ribosomal RNA", at positions 566 to 1241 of the family's 2925-position model. The record is from RNAcentral. Lineage: Bacteria; Pseudomonadati; Pseudomonadota; Gammaproteobacteria; Enterobacterales; Enterobacteriaceae.